Non-coding RNA from Hordeum vulgare subsp. vulgare (domesticated barley), 125 nucleotides. The record is from Rfam. Lineage: Eukaryota; Viridiplantae; Streptophyta; Magnoliopsida; Poales; Poaceae.
UAUCUACUCCCUUCGUCCGGAAAUACUUGUCAUAGGAAUGAAUGUAUCUAAAUGUAUUUUGGUUCUAGAUACAUUCAAUUUUGUACACUUAUGCAACAAGUAAUUCUAGACGAAGGGAGUACAUA